Molecule: ribosomal RNA, 482 nt
Filed under: uncultured bacterium
Lineage: Bacteria
Description: partial 16S ribosomal RNA
Rfam family: Bacterial small subunit ribosomal RNA
Source: RNAcentral
AUUGAACGCUGGCGCCAUGCCUUACACAUGCAAGUCGAACGGUAACAGGUCUUCGGAUGCUGACGAGUGGCGAACGGGUGAGUAAUACAUCGGAAAGUGCCCGAUCGUGGGGGAUAACGGAGUGAAAGCUUUGCUAAUACCGCACACGAUCUACGGAUGAAAGCAGGGGUACGCAAGGCCUUGCGCGGACGGAGCGGGCGGGGGCAGAUAAGGAAGUUGGUGUAAUAAUAGCUUACCAAACCGAGGGUCUGUAGCUGAUCUGAGAGGCCGACCAGCCACACGGGGACAGAGACACGGCCCACACUCCUACAGGAGGAAGCGGUGGGGAAUUUUGGACAAUGGACGAAAGCCUGAUCCAGCCAUGCCGCGUGCAGGAUGAAGUCCUUCGGGUUGUAGACUGCUGUUGUACGGAACGAAAAGACUCUUUCUAAUAAAGAGGGUCCAUGACGGUACCGUAAGAAUAAGCACCGGCUAACUACGUG